Long non-coding RNA from Thalassophryne amazonica, 328 nucleotides. RefSeq lists it as uncharacterized. Lineage: Eukaryota; Metazoa; Chordata; Actinopteri; Batrachoidiformes; Batrachoididae. The transcript has 3 exons. The record is from RefSeq and is a predicted model, not a curated record.
UUUCAGUGCAGGGAUGAUCAAUCUGUACUUUGUGGGCGUUGUGGGGGAAGGAAGGGUAAAUAGGGGUCUCUAGCAUUAUUUAUAAGUCUAGCUGUGGAUGGAAAGAAGCUGUUUUUGUGUCUUGAGGUUUAGGUCCUGAUGGAUCUCAGCUAUCUGCCAGAGGGGAGGGUGACAAAAAGUUUGUGUCCUGGGUGAAAGGGAUCAGCCACUAUCUUCCUUGCUCGCCUCAGGGCCCUGGAGGUAUACAGGUCCUGUAGGGAUGGCAGAUUGCAGUUGAUCACCUUCUCUGCUGUCUGGAUGAUACGCUGCAAUCUGCUCCUCUCCUCUG